AGUUAAAGACGCCUGCGCGGGAGCUCUGGUGACGCGCCAGUAGGGCUGGGUCCAUGGACCGCGGCACCGGGAAGGGGCCGAGGGCGGAGGGAUGUGUUCGCUUCAGCAGUGUUGGCUUCCAGCUGCGAAGUCACUUCGUCGGAGGCGCGGCCCAUCCCCCUAACCGCCACCCACGGAGCGGCUUCCCCACAUCCCAGCAGUGUCUACCCAAAGACCACCCAGAGCGCUUCCAGAGGUCUAUGUAAUGUUAGGACUCAUAGAUCUCCGCCGACUCCGUCACAGUCCGGCCCCUCCCUGACACCAGAGCCUUCCGGGAACACUUGUACCCACUACGGCAGUCAUUCCCGGCCUAUGAACGAUCUUCAAACAUUCACAUCCCGUGAGAUCCACUAUCUAAAUAUGUACUCUCGUUUCCAAUAAACGUUGUCGCCAACCGUCA
Acinonyx jubatus (cheetah) is the source of this 439-nucleotide long non-coding RNA. RefSeq lists it as uncharacterized. The record is from RefSeq and is a predicted model, not a curated record. NCBI's taxonomy places the organism in Eukaryota, Metazoa, Chordata, Mammalia, Carnivora, Felidae. The transcript is spliced from 2 exons.